CUCCUACGGGAGGCAGCAGUGGGGAAUCUUGCACAAUGGACGAAAGUCUGAUGCAGCAACGCCGCGUGGGGGAUGAAGCUUCUCGGAGUGUAAACCCCUUUCGACCCGGAAGAAUGCCCGCAAGGGUUUGACGGUACGGGUAGAAGAAGCCCGGCUAACUUCGUGCCAGCCGCCGCGGUAAUUC
Molecule: ribosomal RNA, 184 nt
Filed under: uncultured bacterium
Lineage: Bacteria
Description: partial 16S ribosomal RNA
Rfam family: Bacterial small subunit ribosomal RNA
Source: RNAcentral